GCAGUCGAGCGGACAGAAGGGAGCUUGCUCCCGGAUGUUAGCGGCGGACGGGUGAGUAACACGUGGGUAACCUGCCUGUAAGACUGGGAUAACUCCGGGAAACCGGAGCUAAUACCGGAUAGUUCCUUGAACCGCAUGGUUCAAGGAUGAAAGACGGUUUCGGCUGUCACUUACAGAUGGACCCGCGGCGCAUUAGCUAGUUGGUGGGGUAAUGGCUCACCAAGGCGACGAUGCGUAGCCGACCUGAGAGGGUGAUCGGCCACACUGGGACUGAGACACGGCCCAGACUCCUACGGGAGGCAGCAGUAGGGAAUCUUCCGCAAUGGACGAAAGUCUGACGGAGCAACGCCGCGUGAGUGAUGAAGGUUUUCGGAUCGUAAAGCUCUGUUGUUAGGGAAGAACAAGUGCGAGAGUAACUGCUCGCACCUUGACGGUACCUAACCAGAAAGCCACGGCUAACUACGUGCCAGCAGCCGCGGUAAUACGUAGGUGGCAAGCGUUGUCCGGAAUUAUUGGGCGUAAAGGGCUCGCAGGCGGUUUCUUAAGUCUGAUGUGAAAGCCCCCGGCUCAACCGGGGAGGGUCAUUGGAAACUGGGAAACUUGAGUGCAGAAGAGGAGAGUGGAAUUCCACGUGUAGCGGUGAAAUGCGUAGAGAUGUGGAGGAACACCAGUGGCGAAGGCGACUCUCUGGUCUGUAACUGACGCUGAGGAGCG
RNAcentral lists this ribosomal RNA (714 nucleotides) under Bacillus sp. MJB13. RNAcentral's name for it is "bacterial SSU rRNA". It matches the Rfam family "Bacterial small subunit ribosomal RNA", at positions 57 to 755 of the family's 1533-position model. RNAcentral also lists the same sequence under 1 other name. The record is from RNAcentral. Lineage: Bacteria; Bacillati; Bacillota; Bacilli; Caryophanales; Bacillaceae.